This 8389-nucleotide long non-coding RNA is filed under the name Sorghum bicolor (sorghum). Its description in RNAcentral is "long non-coding RNA (SBIC_LNC006909)". Lineage: Eukaryota; Viridiplantae; Streptophyta; Magnoliopsida; Poales; Poaceae. The record is from RNAcentral.
CAACCCAUACCUUGUUGUGAAAGCUGUCUUUAGUAUAUCCAAAUUCCGAAUCUUCAAUUGAUGAUAACCAGAAUGCAAAUCAAUCUUAGAGAUCACACAAGCACCUCUCAGCUGAUCAAAUAAGUCAUCAAUUCUAGGCAAUGGAUACUUGUUCUUGAUAGUAACUUCAUUGAGUGACCGGUAAUCAACACACAUUAUCUGACUUCCAUCUUUCUUAUCAACAAAGAUAACUAGAGCACCCCAUGGUGAAGAUCUAGGACGAAUGAACCCUUUAUCUUGCAAUUCCUUUAUUUACUUCUUAAGUUCUUCUAACUCAUUAACCCCCAUUCUGUAUGGUCUUUUGGCUAUAGGUGCAGUACCAGGUAGUAAUUCAAUUAUAAACUCGAUGUCACGGUCAGGUGGCAUACCCGGCAAUUCAUCUGCAAAUACAUCUGGGAAUUCAUUCACAACACGGUCCUAAGGUUUAGCAUCAUCAUCCAACUGGUUCACUAUAGCUGUCUUUUGUUUCUGCACCUCAACCUUGAGUCGGUCUCCAGUAGGUGAUGUUAGUUCCAUUACUUCCCUUCACACUUAAUCUUUGCAUCUUGUUGCAUCAUCCAAUCUGUACCCAAUAUGAGAUCAACUCCAGCUAUCCUCAGCACUAUGGGGUUCACUUUAAAGUCUACCCCCUUAAAGUCAAAUUAACUGGAAAGCAACAAUGUGAAGCUGGUAUAGUCCCUUCUAGUGAAUUUAUGAUUAUGGGGCUUUUCAUGGCACAAGUAGGUAUAUUAUGUGUUCUAAUGAAAGCUUGUGAUAUGAAUGUAUGCGAAGCUUCGAAUCAAAAAGAACGGUAGCGGGAGUGGAAUGGACAUCAAACAUACCAAUCAUAACUUUAGGUUCCUCCACAGCUGUCUCUGCAGACACAUGAUUCACUCUUCCAGCGUUAGGUGUCCGAUUGUUCUCCUGGUUGCUAUUUUGCCCUUGGGAAUUCUGUGGGUUCAAGUUCUCUAGACAAUUAUAAGACAUAUGUCCCACCUUUCCACAGCGGAAACACCUGUUAGGAGUGUUGGGAGCACUGUUCUUCCUAAGGGUGGAAUUAGGAUUCCUUGGUUGAGGUGUCUGUCGACCAUCCUGCUGCUGAUAAGAGUUACGCUGCUGAUAAUGAAAGCACUGAUUCUCACUCUGUGGUUGAUUCUGAAAAUGUUGGGGAUACUGAUCAUGGUUCCACUGACUAACUGGUUCCUGAUAACUCGGAUGGAAACCCUGAUGAGAGCCGAAGCGAUGGCGGUUAUUACUACCCGAACUUUGUCCUUGCAUUCUCCUCUUCCGAUCCUGACUCUUGCGCAUAUCAUCCAGCACAAUGGCACGGUUCACCAGGGCUUGGAAAGUAGGGUAAGUGUUUCCAACCAACUGCAAUCUGAGAUCAUAAUAAAGGCCUUUCAUAAAUAGAUGCUGCUUAUCAACAUCUUCCCUGACCUCAUUCGGAGCAUAGCGAGCCAGCUGCGCAAAGGCAUCAUGAUACUCUGCAACGGUCAUAGAGCCCAUUCUGAGUGAUCUAAACUCCUCCUGCUUUAUUUCUAUCAUCCCUUCAUUGAUGUGACGUGCCUUAAAAUCUCUGUAGAAUUCAUGCCAAGUGACGGUGGGAGCAUUAUUAGGACGAGCAGCUUGGUAUGAUUCCCACCAAGUAUGAGCUGCUCCCUGUAGCUGUCCAGAAGCAUAUAACACCUUCUCUAGAUCAUUGCACUGAGCUAUGUUUAACUGUCUUUCCACAGCACGCAACCAAUCAUCUGCUUUCAUAGGGUCAGUAGACUGAGUAAACACUGGAGGUCGUCCUUUCAUAAACUCUCCACGCUUAUCCAACACAUAGAUAGGUGGUGGUGGAGCUGUAGGCUGGUGCUGAAGAUGUUGUAGAAAUGCAUUCAUCAUCUCGUUCUGUGUAUGCAUUAGUUCCUCCAUAGAGAUUGGGGCAUUAGCACCCCUACCACGACCUCUACCUCUGCCUCUUCCUCUUUCUCUUGCUGCCAUCUGCAUUCCAAGGUACAGAAACAUAUCUCAGUAAUAUCCAACAUGAUAAAUACAAGAGAUAGUUGAAUCUGAAUUUUUCUGGGCGACAUCCAACAUUAGUAGUUGAGAAAAUCAGUCAUAUCUCGAGUUCCGGAAACCAAAAGGUUACAUUCUGUAACCGUUGGAAAGAUAAAGAGAUUAUCUACAACUUUCAUUUAGACCAUAUUAACAGAUUCUGUCGUUAAAUUAGUCAAAACUGGGCAUAACCAAAACUGUUCCAGAAUUCUAGAUUGAGCAGAAACCUCAACUUUGAACAGUUAUAUCUCACAGACCAUAAUAGCUAAUAAUGUCAUUCUUGCUGAAUUGGAAAGAUCAUGAAGUCUAGUUGUUCCCAGAAACGUUUGAUAAACUUUGCACAAACAGAAUUUGAGAUAUGCCAGAAUUAGUGCAGACUGCUCCAGAAAACAGCAAGGUAUAGAAACAGAAUUUAACCAACCCAACUAUUUAGUUCAUUAAUCCUUAUGUCUUAGGCCUAUAAACUAAAUGAAAUUGUGGAGAAAAUCCACAAGAUUAUUACACUCAUUACAAAGAUCCAAGUCAAACAUAAGCAUAAUAACAAACCAAACCAAGCAUCAAAGGUUCACACUUCAAGCAUUAACUCAACUUGCGGUACUAUCGUUGUCUUCCUAUUAAGGGUAAAGAUCCUAAAACUCCUAUUUCAAUGACGCCAGAAGGCAGUAAGAAAAGUUAUAAAAGCAUAUCAAGAAAGGAGUGGGGAUGAGAACUAGUCUUUAAAAUAAGCAACAAGGUGAGGAUGAAUAGCAAUGAAAAGGUUAUAGUAUAGGAGAAAAUAUCAAGGUUUAUAGAACAAGGAUUGUAUAGCAAUUUCAAAACCUUAAGACGGCCAAUAUCUAACUAGGCUUGCGUCCGAUAGUCAAUAAAGCUUUGAUACCAAUUUGUCACACCCAAAUUUCAAGAACGAAAUAGAGUGCAUAAAAGACUCAUAUGUGCCCCAGAAACAGUCGCACACAUAAGUAGACAAAUCUCAAAUGUAUCAUUACAGUGUUCAUUACAUAGCGGAACAAUAAUUAUUAAAUAGUCUCAAACAAAUAAAGAUACUCUCGACGGAACCACCACACAGGGACACUGUUGACUGGUUGACUCCAAGCCUAGUACUCGUAACGGUAGUCCUCAUUCCAAACAUCAUUAUUUGCAUAACCUGGGGUGUUGGGAAAUUGCAAGAGUCAGCACAUAUCGUACUCAACAAGUAUAACCAGGGGUUCAUGAGGCUCAAAUAGCUGACACUGGUUUAACUGCAUUUAGCUUUUAUACGUAGGUAGCAUAUUUGUAUUUAGAUAGCAAAUGUCAAGGUAGCAUAAUUAAAUCCCAUAACCACAUGAUCAAUGUAUACAAGAAUUAAGAAUAACACAUAUAAACAACUUAAUAAACCAUCAUUUAUCAUCAUUAAUCAUGUUCAUCAGUGUCCAUCUAUUCCAUCAGUUUUCCGGGCCACCCGUAUCCGUGGGCACGGCUAGUAUACCAGAUUUAACACUCUGCAGAGGUUGUACAUCUUUAUCCAUGAGUCGUGAUUUACCCUUUCGCCCGAGAUUGCAAGUCUCUUAACCCCCUUCCUAGGGAGGUCGGCAGGGAUCACUAUGAAGCCUUUCAAAGGUUUCGUCUAACAAGUUAGGGCCAUUAGAUUCACUCGGCAGGCAGAUAUAGAGCCCACCUUCCAUGGCACAUAACUCGCAGCCUAUACACACAGACAGAGGCUGCACUAUACCCAACGUGUCUAGCCAUUCUUACGCCAUUUAAGGUAACCGCUAACAAGCUAGAAAAAUAUCCUCAUACUGAGCUAAAACCAGAGCCAUAUAUCCCUCAUGGUUGUACGAGUUGUCCCAGCUUUUGCCAAGGGAUAUGUCCUUAUGGAGGGUCAAGAUCAAUCUAGCAAAAGUUAGAGUUCUUUCCACCCUUUAUGUUCAAGUUGCUAAAAAGCUUAUUUUAUUGUUUAUUAUUUAUCCAAAUAUUCAUGUUACAAGAUCAUGGAUUAUAAUCAAGCACUAGCAAGAACUACCCAAAUACAUAUCCAAAUAGGUAACAAGGAAUUCAGGAUAACAAUCAUCUAUGAUUUUGCUAAGGUCAUCAAGGUGGACACAUGCAUAUGAUAUAUUGUAUUAAUUGUGUAUAGGUAACAAGGAUGAUCCUAAGUUAUACUUGCCUUGAUCAAAACUCUCCUGAGCCUGCUGGUCGUCAAAAGAUUGGCCUUGAUCACCAACGUAAAGCUCACCGACUAAACUCGAUCAUCAAUCAACAACACGCAUUCCAAUGAACAAUCAUACACCAAGCAAACAAGUUAUAAUUAGAAUAAUACACCAACAGUGAUAAAACAAUUGUAAAAGUUUAUAAAAAUAUUCUACGCAGCGCUACAAUCACACAAACAUAAAGUUCACGAAAAUCGAAAUUAAAACUGAGAAGUUAUGAAUUUUCUAAGAUUUCCUAUAGAAUAAUAAUUAAUUAAAUAUUACCACGAAAUUAAAAAGUUUCGAACUGGUGAUACAGUACUUCUAACAUGUAGAGUUCGCAAAGACGAAACUAACGCAAUUUGAAUGGGUUAAAACGGAGUUAAAAUGAGCAUUUUAUGGCCUAAAGAAACUCAAUGGCAUGUUUGUAAAUUCUGAAAAACGUAUUAUGGUGUUAACCCGAGGCUUUACGCUUCUCCAAGAGCAAAGCGUAUUCUCUGAAAGGCGCCAUGGACUACGGGUUCUAAUUGGGACAAGCCGAGGGUCUCUUUAGCAAUUGUCGCAGCCGAAAGGGUAUCGGGCACCCUGGGCCGUUUGAUGAGCGAGGGACGGCUCAGAUUAGAUGCAAGAGAGAGAGAGAAGGGGGACUCGGCCGCCGGCGUGGCUCUCCACGGCGGCACCAUGGUCGCAGCCCUGAGAGCUCGUUGGAGCUCAUGGCCUCGGCGAUUUAGGGCACCAUUUUAUGAACCGAUAGCAUGGGAAGGACGCGGGGCUUCUUGCGAACUCACCAGUGCUCUUAUCGCGACCCGAGGGAGCUAGGAAGGAAACGACCACGCGUGGGAAGCUCGGCGAGAUCCACUCCUCGACGUCGGUGGCGGCUAGGGCUUCUCAGACGCUCUUAGAUCGAAAAAGUGGGUGUGGGGCGGGGCUAGGAGCUUAACUAGUGCUCGGUUUGCGCUUGAACUAGGAAAUCGCGAAGAGUUCGGGAUUGGUUGCCAUCGAGUGUCUGGCUCGGUGACGGCGCGAGGAAGGAGAUGGAGGAGGACGCUGACGUGUGGACCCCACGUGUCAGAGGCCAGAUUGAAAAGGGAAAGGGUCAGGCGCGCGGCUGGGCCGUUGGCUCUAGGUUUAGGCCGGGUGGGGGGCUGGGCUGCCGCUUGGGUAGCUGGGCCGAGCGAGGGAGAGGUGCCGAGCUGGCUUGCUGCUGGGCCGAGCUGCUGUUGCUGCGCUGGGCUGGGGUUUUCCCCUUUUUUCUAUUUUCUUUUCUAAAGUCUUUUCAAAUAGAGAAUGAAUUCCUUUAGACUUUAAACAAAAACACACAGCACCAACAUGUUUCUAUCCCUAUGUUGGAUUUUAUUUUCAAUAAAAUUUAUUUAUUUACUAAUUUAAAUGCUCACAAAAAUGCUUAGAUAAAUCAAAUUUAAUCUAUAACUCUUAUAAUCCUAAACCCCAUUAAAUAUUUCUCUAAGCAUGCAAGCUAUCCACCUAAGCAAUACACUACCAUAUUCAAUUAAAAUCCACUAAGUAAAACCUCAAUAGCUAUUUAUCUCAACAUGCAAUAAUGCACUACCACAUAUACAAUUAAAAUCCAAUAGCACACAUGGAAACUGUGAUUGUCCACGUCAGCAAGACAAAUAAGUAUAGCCCAUAUCAUCAUACACACAAUCUACUAAUCCGCAAUUCCCGUAGUAACGCGCGGGGUAUGCUCCUAGUUCUAAUAGUUAGAAAGCAAAUUUUUUGGUGUUACAAGAUUGGGGUUAAUACCGAAGUUUGGAGAUUAUCUUCUGUUGUUUGCUGCUUAAGGUUAUCUCUGAUAUGCAUUGUCUUUUUAUAUUGCCCCUUAUUUGUAGCUAUAUGUGAGAUUUGAUGUCUAAGACUCACAUAUGGUGUUUAUCUCAUUUUGUUCUUAAAAUCGGGGUAUUACAAAGUGGUAUCAAACUAAUGCUCACUGUAGGACGCAACCCUAGUUAGAAAUUGGCGGUCUUAAGGUUUUGAAAUUAUCAUUAAAUUCUUGUUCUAUAGACCUUGAUAUUUUCACCUAUACUAUAUCCCUUUCCUUGCUAUAUUUUUAAUGUUUGACUUAACCUUAUUUAAAAUGAUAUCUAAAUCCAAUAAGAGAGUGAUAUCAUCACAACAUCCGACGUCCCUCCUCCUAAUCUCAUAAUUGCUACAAAACAUCAUUUUUUUCAACACGUCUAUAUUAUUUUUAAAAUAAUACAACACACCGAUACCAAUACUUAUUUAGGUCCUGUUUAGUUGACGCUAAAAUUUAUUUUUUUUUCGAAAUUUCACAUCACAUCGAAUCUUACCGCACAUGUAUGAGACAUUAAAUAUAGAUAAAAAAUAACUAAUUACACAGUUUAUCUGUAGUUUACAAGACGAAUUUUUUGAGCCUAGUUAGUCUAUAGAUGGACAAUAAUUGUUAGAUACAAACGCAAGUGCUACAUCACCUGAAUCCAAAAGUUUUCCCAACUAAACAAGGCCCUAGUUAGAGCAUCUCUAAGAGAUUUUCCAUAUCCUUUUUAAAUGCCACAAUAGAGGUUUUGGUGAAUAAUUGUUCUCCAAUAGCUUAUCUAAAUGGUCAUUCAAAUAUAGUUAUCUUUUAUUUUAGAUUUUUUUAUUAGCCAAAUAUAUAAAACGAGAAUGACUAUUUAGAGUUCGUAUGAGAUAUAGAAAAACUGUCAAUGAAAAGAUAUAGAAAAUAAUUUUUAAAUAAACAUCUUUCUAAAUAAUGAUUCAGAGUGAAAUUUAUAAAUGCUGUUAGAGAUGCUCUUAGAGCAACUCCAACAGUUUGCUAAAAGUAUUUGCAUCCUAGGAUUUUUGUCAAAACCACAAAAAAACAAGGCAAAAUUCACCCUUCACUUGGCAAAUAUGCCAAGUCCUCCAUGGCUUAGCAUCACGUGUAUCCCAAUAUGCCAACUAGUCUUGCCAAUUUGUUGGAGGCUCAAUUUUGUGAUGUUGGCAAAAAUCUUAGGAUGCUAAGCUCUUUUUUGCCAAGCCCAAAUAGCAAACUGUUGAACGUCUCUUUUUUUACUUGAUAUUUGAUUUUGAGACUUGGCAAAACUAUAAAUUUGCCAAGUGACCUUGUUUAGUUUGCAAAAUUUUUUGUUUUUGGCUACUGUAGCAUUUCGUUUUUAUUUGACAAACAUUGUUCAAUCACGGAGUAACUAAGCUCAAAAGAUUCAUCUCACAAAUUACAGGUAAACUGUGCAGUUAGUUUUUAUUUUCGUCUAUAUUUAAUGCUCUAUGCAUGCGACCAAAUAUUUGAUGUGAUGGAGAAUCUUGAAAAUUUUUGCAAACUAAACAAGGCAUGAGUUUUAGCAAACUAUAUAUUGCAGUUGCUAUAUUAUGAUAUGAAUUCGUUAAGAAAGCUGAAAGCGUGCGAAACUAAAAGACAGUCCCGGUGGAUCAUCGGAAAAAUAUCUUUGGAACAUAGUUGAUAUUAUUGCUGUAAAUAGGGGCUUACAUGAAAAAUCGUACCACCUAGAAGAUUAUGAGUCUCGAAAAAAAUAUCUAAACAUCAACUACUUCCUAUAAAGUGGAGAGUAGCGGGGAGAACCCGAGAAACCCAAUCCAGACAAGCAAGGAAUCCCCGAUGGCUCAUCGCGUUCUCCUCCUCCUUUCUCUCGCGGCGGCCGUCGCGGUAGCCGCCGCCGUCGACACGGAGGAUCCGCUGAUCCGGCAGGUGGUUCCCGGCGGAGAUGACAACGAGCUGGAGCUGAACGCGGAGUCCCACUUCCUGAGCUUUGUGCAGCGGUUCGGCAAGUCCUACAAGGACGCCGAAGAGCACGCGUACCGGCUGUCCAUCUUCAAGGCCAACCUGCGCCGCGCGCGCCGGCACCAGCUGCUGGACCCGUCGGCGGAGCACGGCGUCACUAAGUUCUCCGACCUGACGCCGGCCGAGUUCCGCCGGACCUACCUCGGCCUCCGUAAGUCACGGCGCGCGCUCCUCAGAGAGCUCGGGAAGUCGGCGAACGAGGCGCCUGUGCUCCCCACCGAUGGCCUGCCCGACGACUUCGAUUGGAGGGACCACGGCGCCGUCACCCCUGUCAAGAACCAGGUCGGUUUCCACCGAAUCUGCAUGGAUCCACAGAUCGGGGCCGUUCUUUCAUGGUUUCCCGAUCUAUUUGGGUCUUUCCUCUAUCUAAAUGACUCCUCAAUUUCCU